This 62-nucleotide transfer RNA is filed under the name Pseudothericles compressifrons. RNAcentral's name for it is "tRNA-Cys". Lineage: Eukaryota; Metazoa; Arthropoda; Insecta; Orthoptera; Thericleidae. The record is from RNAcentral.
GGCUUUAUAUUCAAAAAUGAUAUUAGACUGCAAUUCUAAUGGUGUAUUUAAUACUAAGGCCU